CCUACGGGGGGCAGCAGUAGGGAAUCUUCGGCAAUGGGCGAAAGCCUGACCGAGCAACGCCGCGUGAAUGAAGAAGGCCUUCGGGUUGUAAAAUUCUGUUAUAAGGGAAGAAAGGUGAUAGGAGGAAAUGACUAUCAAUUGACGGUACCUUAUGAGAAAGCCACGGCUAACUACGUGCCAGCAGCCGCGGUAAUACGUAGGUGGCAAGCGUUAUCCGGAAUUAUUGGGCGUAAAGAGCGCGCAGGUGGUUAAUUAAGUCUGAUGUGAAAGCCCACGGCUUAACCGUGGAGGGUCAUUGGAAACUG
RNAcentral lists this ribosomal RNA (305 nucleotides) under uncultured bacterium. RNAcentral's name for it is "bacterial SSU rRNA". It matches the Rfam family "Bacterial small subunit ribosomal RNA", at positions 338 to 635 of the family's 1533-position model. The record is from RNAcentral.